UCUCACCUUGAGGAGGCCUGGGUCCAGUCUGACCUCUCAGGUCGCUGUUCAAAUCUCAGCAACGUGCUCUCUUCCUCUUCUUUAGGGUGCUUGGCUCCUGCAGACUCCCUCCCAUUCUCUACCGGCACCGACCUCAACGGUAAGACUCAGCCUCCUUUUUUAGGACUCCACACUGCUUCUCCAAAGAACUAAGCUGGCUGGAGUCGAGACAAGGCGCCUUCAGUUUCUUCCUUUAUCUCCCGCCCUCCCCGCCCCCAGCUUUUCCUCUCCAGAGUGUGUGACUCAUUGGGUCCACCUUGAAUUCCCCUAGCGACCCACUGCCUUAGCCCGCAUCUCUCUACCACAGGGCACAGCCGUGAUCUUCUGCACAGCCUGCACUCCUCGAAAUACCCUCCUUAAUCAAAGGAUGUCUGCGCGCCGGCGCUCAGCUGACCGCGCCAAAGCAGAGAGGCCUAAGAGUUCCACCCCUCCCGCCCCCUCCCCAGGCUCACAACCUCCCCCAACCCUGUCUUUCCAGAGCAUUAAUUAAAAGCGGAAAAAAGACAGAGGCUGAUGUCAUUGCUCUCAGAUCAUAAACGUAAGAGUCAUCCUGUGAGAAUCCCUGAAAAUGACUUUAAUGAAUAAUUUCAGAGACAGUUAUGGCUUUGGGUGAUUACUGAGCGAGAAUAUGAAAACCAGAUUUUCAAGGGAAGGCGAUGGUCAGGCGGUCUGACCAUCUCCACCCCCCAUUAAAACCGCAUUAGUUUCCCUUCCCAACUACUACUACAAACUUAGAUUUUUGUUUCCAGGGUUUUUUCUUUAAAAC
Molecule: long non-coding RNA, 805 nt
Filed under: Mus musculus (house mouse)
Lineage: Eukaryota; Metazoa; Chordata; Mammalia; Rodentia; Muridae
Description: Handsdown splice variant Shn
Source: RNAcentral